GUGCUAUUGAUCUUUUACUUGUGCAUCCUUAAAAAGAAAGAUAUUUAAUGAAAAAAUUGAAAGUAAUAUUUAGUGAUGAGUUCCUGUCCAUUCUCAUUCAACAUAACUUUUGCAAAGUAUUCCUUGGUGUAAUAAAUAAAUUCUAUUUUGUUGGCUUUAUGAUUGCUGGAAAUUCCUUUGGAUUCAAAUAUUCGUUCACAUAUUUCCAAGCUAUCUUUACAAUGAUAGCUAUAAGACAAACAUAUUUAUCUGGUGUAUCCCUGUCAGUAUUCUAAAUGAAAUAAGACUAACCUUGAAGUAAAUGUCUGGUAGCAGCCGUUGGUGGUGGCGUUUUUCAUGCUUGUGUAUAGUAAUCUUUCUUGCCUUUUCUCGUCAUCUUGAAUGGCUUCGUUGUCGUCACACCCAUCAGAUGAACCACACUCCUGGAUCUUCACUAGGGACAGCAGUGAAUCUGUUACCUCUGCUCUGACCUCCAUUUCUUUAAUUGCUUUGCCCUUUCUUAGGGCCUUUUAUUUCAAAUAGCAAGUUAAUACAGCAGCCUCAGGUCCUCCUCUUUCUCUAAAAAUAAAUGCCGUGGAUAAGAUUCAUGUAAGUUUCUAUUUUCCCCCACUUAAAACGUAGCCUUACCUCCUUCUCUGGCGUAAUAUUUUGCAUGAAUAUAUUUUGAAAUUUUUUCCCAAACAAAGAUCUGUGAUUGACCCACUGAAAAGUGAGGUUAUUUGAAUAUCUGAAAUAAUAUGGUUAUGGAAUUAGGCUGUUUUGUGACUGCUGCUGUAUCAUUGUGUUUGCUCUGGUUAUAGUUUGAAAUCUGGUUAAUAUAAUCUUAAUUUGAGAGAGUUAGAUAGACUAGAAUUAUUAGUCCAUUAUAAAAAAUGAAUGUAAGAAUCUUUUCUCUCCCCAUUUAGACAACUUUGUAUCUUUUUUAAAAAUGUUCCUUCUUUCUUCCUCCCAGCCUUUUCCCCCGACUCCUAUUUGUAUACAUUCACACUAGAUACCACAGUUCUUCAAAGCUGAAUAAUAGCUAUUGAAAACUGAUGCUCUGACUUUUUUCUCUUAAUCUCAUG
This 1064-nucleotide long non-coding RNA is filed under the name Equus caballus (horse). RNAcentral's name for it is "lncRNA (ENSECAG00000046457.1)". Lineage: Eukaryota; Metazoa; Chordata; Mammalia; Perissodactyla; Equidae. The record is from RNAcentral.